CCUGGCAGUCUUAGUCUUGUGA
Molecule: microRNA, 22 nt
Filed under: Pteropus alecto (black flying fox)
Lineage: Eukaryota; Metazoa; Chordata; Mammalia; Chiroptera; Pteropodidae
Description: pal-miR-378e-5p
Gene: pal-miR-378e-5p
Source: miRBase by way of RNAcentral